RNAcentral lists this ribosomal RNA (525 nucleotides) under Cryptococcus sp. (in: basidiomycete fungi). RNAcentral's name for it is "LSU rRNA". It matches the Rfam family "Eukaryotic large subunit ribosomal RNA", at positions 69 to 599 of the family's 3401-position model. Lineage: Eukaryota; Fungi; Basidiomycota; Tremellomycetes; Tremellales; Cryptococcaceae. The record is from RNAcentral.
CUAGGAUUCCCUUAGUAACGGCGAGUGAACGCGGGAUGAGCUCAAAUUUAAAAUCUGGCGUCUUUCAGGCGUCCGAGUUGUAAUCUAUAGAGGCGUUUUCCGCGCCGGACCGCGUCCAAGUCUCUUGGAAUAGAGUAUCAAAGAGGGUGACAAUCCCGUACUUGACGCGACAACCGGUGCUCUGUGAUACGUUCUCAAUGAGUCGAGUUGUUUGGGAAUGCAGCUCUAAAUGGGUGGUAAAUUCCAUCUAAGGCUAAAUAUUGGCGAGAGACCGAUAGCGAACAAGUACCGUGAGGGAAAGAUGAAAAGCACUUUGGAAAGAGAGUUAAACAGCACGUGAAAUUGUUAAAAGGGAAACGAUUGAAGUCAGUCGUGUGAAAGGUAUUCAGCCGUCUCUGGCGGUGUAUUUGCCUUUCACGGGUCAACAUCAGUUUGAUCCGGUAGAAAAAGGCGGGAGGAAGGUGGCACCCUCGGGUGUGUUAUAGCCUCCUGUCAUAUGUGCCGGACCAGACUGAGGAACGCAGC